AAUUUUAGUAAUUAAGGCUGGUUCUCAUUUUUGUUCUCCAUUUACAUUUUAUUGGAGAUAUAUAAUUUGAAAAAUAUAUACCAUUUCACAUAGAUAUGUGAUUUGGAAAAGCAUAAAAAAUGAUCAACAAUAUCAUGACCAUAUUCUUGUAUGAGGGUGGCAAGGAAUGAAAUACAAAAUAAAAAUAACAACAAUAAAAUGAGUGGGAAAACACUCAAAUGUUGCUAUAAAUAUCUUUACACACUGUACCAGCUUCCUCGAUACUCAUUCUUUUUUUUGUGUGUGUUUCUCUCUCUAACCAUGUUUCCUCAGAUACUCAUCCAUAUUUUCCUUUGCCUUACUCUUCCACAUUUAUCCUCUACACAUCCAAUAUAUACUUGCUUUGUUAAUUAUUGUUCAUUCAUUUGCUCCACAUGACCAAAC
Molecule: long non-coding RNA, 423 nt
Filed under: Androctonus crassicauda
Lineage: Eukaryota; Metazoa; Arthropoda; Arachnida; Scorpiones; Buthidae
Source: RNAcentral